AGAAUCAGAAUUGCUAGAGGUCCAAAGCAUUCGAGAUAAAAAGCCAAUCGUGAAGGUGGAGCUAGGGGCACCUUGCGGCAAGAUCGAAGGGCCUUUUCUACUUUCUGACGGCAGGGUGGAAAUGGAAGUGAUGCUUGACAAGGCAACAUAUUGCCACGGCGAAUUAAUCAAUGUCCACACGUACAUCACAAACCACUCGUCAAAGAUCAUUCAGUGGACAAAGUUUCAGGUGAUAGUUAUUCAGCAUAUAGACGUUUACAUGAACUCAAAUGGGAAGUUCAAAAAUGUAGUGGCAUUUAAACAAGAAUAUGGCAAACCAAUUCGACCUGAGAAGGCCCACCAUUAUAUUUAUAAAGUGAGGCCUCACAGAGGUGUCAUCAAGGAAUGGAUAGCACUCCAAGAUUCAUAUUCAGAAACCGGCGCAACUCUAGCAUCAACCUUUCCAUGUAAUUCUGACACUAACGUGAAUGAGCGUAACGUAUUCGCUAUUGAAGUGUCCUACUAUGUGAAAGUAAAGUUAACACAUAGUGAAAUAGACGGUACAGUUUCCGUCAAACUACCGUUCACUCUUACCCGGUCCUGCAUCGAUUAAGCCGGAAGCCUGCUUCUAUGGGGUGCUUCGUCUGUUACGGUUAGCUUACCAUAGAUUAGCGUAACAGACGAAGCAAGCGACCGAACUUAAAUGAUUCUAGAUGGUAGAGAAGAGAAAGCAGAAGUAAAGGACAACCAGAACAGCAACAGAGAAACAAUUCAUGAAGCGGAUGAACGUCACCAGAGAAUUAUAGAUCCAUCGCGCAUGUGCUGGUAAAUAUCGUUAAUAUUUACCAGCACAUGCGCAGCCAGAAUUUCACGAGAUCCGAUGAAAUAGUAAAAGUUUAAUCGAAUGUAGUGAAUCCGAUUAAGUGGAAUUGCAAAUCGAAGUCUGAAUGAAAGGCAGAGAAUUUGAAAAGAGCUGUGUUGAG
This is a long non-coding RNA of Pieris rapae (cabbage white), 962 nucleotides long. RefSeq lists it as uncharacterized. The record is from RefSeq and is a predicted model, not a curated record. The transcript is spliced from 5 exons. NCBI's taxonomy places the organism in Eukaryota, Metazoa, Arthropoda, Insecta, Lepidoptera, Pieridae.